RNAcentral lists this long non-coding RNA (272 nucleotides) under Gallus gallus (chicken). Its description in RNAcentral is "long non-coding RNA NONGGAT006568". Lineage: Eukaryota; Metazoa; Chordata; Aves; Galliformes; Phasianidae. The record is from RNAcentral.
GGCCGUGUUCAGACCCUCCUCACUUUCUUCUGUCCCAUAUGGGAUUUUCCAGGACGGCCUCGCGAGUUUCUUAUCUUUCUUAUCACUGUAACGUUCUAUCGGUAACGAAUACAGGAGAGCCUACUCGCUUGGAUAAACAUGUUUUUGCUGUGAGCUCUGGGACAACUCCUACUUUCUGUCUCCUUUUGAUUGGCUUCCCAAGGAGGCAGUGUCCUAUAAAUUGCGGUCUGAUCUGUGCUUCUGCCCUAUUGCCGGCUGAGGGACAGGUGAGU